RNAcentral lists this ribosomal RNA (253 nucleotides) under uncultured bacterium. Its description in RNAcentral is "partial 16S ribosomal RNA". It matches the Rfam family "Bacterial small subunit ribosomal RNA", at positions 524 to 776 of the family's 1533-position model. The record is from RNAcentral.
UACAGAGGGUGCAAGCGUUAUUCGGAAUUAUUGGGCGUAAGGAGCGCGUAGGCGGUCUGAUCAGUCUGGUGUGAAAUCCCUGGACUCAAUUCAGGAAGCGCAUUGGAUACUGUCAGACUCGAGUACAGGAGAGGUGAGCGGAAUUCCCGGUGUAGAGGUGAAAUUCGUAGAUAUCGGGAGGAACAACAGUUGCGAAGGCGGCUCACUGGACUGUAACUGACGCUGAGGCGCGAAAGCGUGGGGAGCAAACAGG